CUUAGUGAGACAUGCAAAGGACAUGCGAGGACUGGAAUUGGGAACCACUGGGCUACAUCAUGUGUCAUUCACCGGUAAACUACUAUGAAAAAUCACAACACUAAUUAAGGGAUAAAACCAAAAAUAAGAGGAUAAACAAGACCUUUUGCAAGAAAAAGAUGGCACCUGUGUGAAGGAGUGUCCAACAGACACAUUUAAAGACUCCAGAGGGUGGCGCUGUCAGCCCUGUCACAGCUCCUGUCUGACCUGCCACAGCCCUGGAGUGAGAGACUGUAACAGAUGCAGUGACUGAAGCCCGCAAAUUUACAGGAAGUGCCUGGUGAUCAGCUGCCUGGAAGGCCAAUAUGUUGAUGAGGGAAGUCACACUUGCCAUUAUGAUAGAUCCUGCCUGACAUUACAGUCCCAAGGCUCAGAAUUGCAUCACAUGUGCUACCAGUACCCAACAGGAUACAUGUUGGAGCAGGAGGCCGUGUGUGUAGACUGCUGUCCUCUUGGCUUUUAUUAGAAUGUGUCUAUGUCAGUUUGAGGCACCACAGUGUGUAGAUCAAUGUCCACAGCACUUUUACGAGAGCAAGCACAGCUGCAGACAGUGCGACACCAGCUGCAAAUCCUGCACAGGUGCAUCUCUUUCAUUUUCAUACUUUUUGAGAUUAAAUCAUGUAGUACCAAUAUAUCUUCAUUCUUAUCAUUAUGGGCCAUGGGCCUUCUUUGAUAAAAAUUGUAUUGCAAACAGACAGAUCUGGAUCUGUUUGCUGGACUAUAUAACAUUUCAUUGUGCUAAAAGGCAUGCUAUAGAUAUAACAAUGAAAUAACGCCUGUUGACCGAGUUACCAAGGAGGUACAGUAUAUAUAAAAUCUCUGAGGAAGCUGCUUGACAAAGGAUUCCUGGAAAAACAAAACUGGAAACCAAGUAGUUAGUAGGUACUAAGCCUCUAGUGUGAGUUACAUCCCUAUUAAAUUAGAACUCAAUGAGAACUAAAUUUGACUUUCCACUUUUUAUUUUAAAACAGCCAAAAUCUGGGCCCAUAUUCACAAAACAUUUCAUCUUA
Long non-coding RNA from Cyprinus carpio (common carp), 1049 nucleotides. RefSeq lists it as uncharacterized. The transcript is spliced from 4 exons. Lineage: Eukaryota; Metazoa; Chordata; Actinopteri; Cypriniformes; Cyprinidae. The record is from RefSeq and is a predicted model, not a curated record.